UAAAGGUCAGCCUAAAUAUGCAUAGAUAUUUAUUUGCAAGUGGUUUAGGAGAAGAUCUGAGCUGCUCACUUUUCCUAAAAUGUCUCUUUGGAUUGAUUAUGGAAGGGUAGAGGUUUUAGGUCUUUUGUAUUCAGCUUAUAGACAUCUCAUGACGCCAAAAUCCAGCAAUAAUCUUUAUUUUCAGCUGAAAGUUUCCUAUCUUCUCCCUCUUCCAAUACAAAUGCAAGCUUGAAUUAUUUUAACUAUGGAAAAGGCACCUACCCGAGUGACCCUGCCUAACAUCGCUGACACAGUUUGGCAUCUUCACCUGAAGCCUGGGUUUAUUUUCUUGAAGAUUACCCCUAGGUACACCCCAGGGAAAAACUAACUCUUGACAGCUCUUUCUGUUUUGACCAUCACUUUUUACAGCCAAGAGCGAUGAUGUGGAGGUGAGGAGGGGCAGUCAUCUGGUUUGUGCUGGAGCCAGCGUUUGCCGUUUGUUUUUUACUCUGUCCUGAAGUGGUGCAUUUUCAGAGGCUGUACCACACAACCAGGAAGAAAAAGUGACUCCCUGGUUAUUCAGACAGGUGGCACUUUGCAAAGCAAGGAGGUUACUGCCAGAGUAAACUGAAAUUGGAGGUGGUUUACAUUAAUACUGCAGCCUGUAGACUGUACUUGCUGAGGAGUUUAUCCAGGAGGAUCAGCUGAUCUUGCUGCAGGAUGGUGACCUCUGGCAGAGACAUGGGACAGAGACAGCUGCCUCAGCUCUCCCAGCUAAACCUGCUUAAGGUGAUCUUGUGUUGCCGGCUUGCAGAGAUUCUAAAGCAAGGGACAACAGAGUCCCGAGGCAUGCAGUUAUGGGAGACUGGCUACUGAUUUGUGGAUGUCCAGGGAACCCAUGCCUCGCAGAUUAGCAGCUGACCAUCUUCCACUGAGCAUCCUAGCAGCUUUAUGUCUGCUUUCCUACUUCAAGAAACAAAUAUCUCUGGGAUGAAGCAAAUCUUCUUUGUGCCAAGUGCCUGUCUGGUUACUGUUAUUCAAGAUCCAGCUUUUAUUAACUAUCCUGAACCUGUUGGAAGAUGGGAAGCAUAUUUCCAGCUUUUUAAAAUCAGAAAUAUUUACUGUGGAGAAAUGAUUAAUGAAAGCCAGUGGAAUGGUGACAGGAGGGGCCCUACAGCAAGCCUACUACUGGCUGACUCCAGACACCUUGUGAUUCUGAGUUGCAGUUUCUCCAUCUACAGAAUUAGAGGCUUUGGGAAUCUAAAGUCAGGAAGAAACUGCUUAUCUACAUAGAUGCAAUUCCCUGUUGCUGGCUACAGAGUGAGGACUGAGAGGAGGAAUGCAUAUGUUGGUCCUGCUGUGGCAGAAUAAGUUAAGUGAAAUGAAGAAGACAAGCAAGUUUUCUGUUGUACAUCACAGAAAGGGUGACCUGGUACACUGCUUAAAAGAGAACCUGAAAAGACAAUUUUUUUUUUUGCCCCAUAGCAGUCCUGCAGAUGAGAACAGCUAAUCCAUUCCCCCCCAUAUUUCCAGUGUUUUGGGGCAUUGAGCACUGCAGAAACAGUUGGAAACUUGGGAAAGCUGUACAUGACUGAGCAGCUGGACAUGAAAAGAAUUGUUCUUCGAUGUUGAGAUGCAUUUUUCUUGCUAUAAAGAAGGAAGGAAUUAAGUGACUACACGCUUGGAAGAAAGACCUUGCCGUUUCAUGAUGGCUCUCAGACAUCAUCUUUAUAACUCCACUGAACUGUUCCUCUGCUAAAAGACUUGUAGCCUAUACUACAAAGGGCUUUGAGUUUAUGUACAGCAUAUACUGUUAUCAGCAAUCACCGCAACAGUCACAAAAGGUAUUGCUUCACUGUGGUUAAACAAUCUAAUUAAUCGUAUGACAAAAUUACUCCUGUGCUAGUAUGUCCUCCAACCACAGAGGUAGGUUUAGCAGCAUAGCUAGGACAGCAUAUUGGGGAUGUCCUAAGUAACACUAGAAGAUCUGAAAAAACAUCAUGGUAUAGCUUUUCAACUGUUUCAGGGAAAGCUGAUCGUUUUCUGUCCAGAAUGGAUAUGCGUAAUUCCAGAGGCAGGUUUUUAGAUUAUAGGUGACCUUUGCUUCUGUGAGGAUCUGAAACUCUGUGUCUCACUUCUUCUAUAUAUGUGCGUUACAUUUAAAUAAAUAUCUCAACUGUCCCUCAGCUGGAGGGCUGUCUGCGAGACAUUCUUUAGCCAAACACAGUGUGAUACAAACACUCAGAUAGUGACAGGAGCACAAUAUAAGAGAGCCCAGAGGAAAUCUGAUAGCUUGUAUACAGGUAUUCAGAUUGCUUUAUCAAGGAGUCUUUUCUGGUCUUAAGUUCCAUACAUUCAAGACUUGUUUUGAUUCAAAGAAAUUCAGCUUUCUCUUGCUAUUGUGUUUUGUGCUCUUGAGAAAAGAUAAUUGGAAAAGCUGGAUACGUAAAAAGAGGAGUGGUCUGUGACUGCUCUUAAACUUUCCAAAUAUAUUAUCCUUUAAAAAAACCCACCAGAACCCACUUUGUCAUAACAGUUUCAGCAUCAACAGUGACUAAUCUAUUUUCCAUGCAAAGGCCAUAGUAAAAUGCAGGUGUGUUUAAUACUUUGAUUUAAUGUUUCUACAAGAACAAUUUUGGGUUGAUUUGGUUGAAGGAACUGCUUGGUUAUUAGUCCCUUAAAGACUAUCUGUGUAUCUGUCUUCUAAAAAGUAUAAUCAUAGAAGUUAAUAAAAGGGAAGGAGAAUAAGUCACUGAACAUUUGAACAUUUGGAGGUCUAGACUAUGUUUCCAUUCGUCAAGGUUGUCCUCAAAAGUAAUUUUUGAGCCACACUGCAAGGAAACUGGAAAGAGCUUGAACUUCUGAUGUUCACUUUAUUGUGCGGAUACAUAGAAAACAAUUUUCUUGUCCCACAAGGAUUCUGUUGAUUCUGAAAUUUUGGGCCUGGCAUGGCACUCAGUGAAUAUAUGAGUUACUUAAGAAACAAACAAACAUAUUUCAUUUUAAUGCUGACCUUUUUUUUUUUUUUCCCCUUAACCUUUUAAUAUAAAUUUAAUUAAGUUUCAACAGGAGAAGAUGCUUUUAACCACAAACCAGAGACUUUUUGUUUAAAAAAAUGUUGAAAUGGCACAUUUCUAGAAUUUCAAAACCUGUUAUUCUGGGUUUUUUUUGAGGACAGGAAUCUCUCUGGGGAAUAAUUUCAGUUUUGAUGAAUUGUAAGUUGUGACCAUCUCUCUUCUCUAUGAAAGCCCUGUUCUCAUUCCCAACACAAACCCCAAGCUUCCAGUAGUUUCCAGAAGUCUAAGGUAUGAUUGCCUUAGUCACCUUACUGAUGCAUUAGAAUGAGACAGAUUUUGGGCAACUAACUUUAAUGUUGUGUAGUAAGACAACAGUGAGAGUGUUGUGAUGGUCUUAAUUGGCAUUCUUCCUCUACAAGUACUUGAGAUUGUAAUAGUUCUGUUUUGUGUUUCUAUACUUCACAUAUGUACUGUUUCAUGUCAAUUACUGUUUUACAGUUUGCAGACAAGAAGAUACGAGUUUACAUGUAUGCUAGAAAUUAAUUUCAUUAACACACUGUGUUUUUUCGUUACAUUUGUCAAGAAGGAUUACUUAUAACUAAUGACCAUAGUUGUGUUGAUGAAACAAAUUUUAUGCCUUCAGUGAAGGAUUGUUAAUGAACCCUGCUUUAAGAAGUCUGGAUGGCUUGUACAUCUGGAAAUGAACACUGGAUUGUUGUCACUUUUUAUAGCAAUAUUUGUAUAUAUUUGCAUUACCCUAGAAAUAAACUAUUUUCAUUACUUGA
RNA transcript from Apus apus (common swift), 3781 nucleotides. RefSeq lists it as uncharacterized. Lineage: Eukaryota; Metazoa; Chordata; Aves; Apodiformes; Apodidae. The transcript is spliced from 9 exons. The record is from RefSeq and is a predicted model, not a curated record.